UGGGGAAUAUUGCACAAUGGGCGCAAGCCUGAUGCAGCGACGCCGCGUGAGGGAUGGAGGCCUUCGGGUUGUAAACCUCUUUCGCCAGUGAAGCAGGCCAUCUUCUUUGUGGGGUGGUUGACGGUAGCUGGAUAAGAAGCGCCGGCUAACUACGUGCCAGCAGCCGCGGUAAUACGUAGGGCGCGAGCGUUGUCCGGAAUUAUUGGGCGUAAAGAGCUCGUAGGCGGCUGGUCGCGUCUGUCGUGAAAUCCCCUGGCUUAACUGGGGGCUUGCGGUGGGUACGGGCCGGCUUGAGUGCGGUAGGGGAGACUGGAAUUCCUGGUGUAGCGGUGGAAUGCGCAGAUAUCAGGAGGAACACCGGUGGCGAAGGCGGGCCUCUGGGCCGUUACUGACGCUGAGGAGCGAAAGCGUGGGGAGCGAACAGG
This 425-nucleotide ribosomal RNA is filed under the name bacterium. Its description in RNAcentral is "partial 16S ribosomal RNA". It matches the Rfam family "Bacterial small subunit ribosomal RNA", at positions 355 to 776 of the family's 1533-position model. The record is from RNAcentral.